AUCCUGCGGUGUUCGUAAAGGCUCUUCGUUGUUUUGAACCAAUGGCUGUUUCACGGGAGUUCAAAUUUUUAUACGGCUGACAUGCCCUGCACAUGGGAUCUCAAAUGUAUAAAUGAGGGCACCCACCUGCGAGAGCGGGUUCAGAAACAUUUGGGCUUAACGGCAUUGCGGGUAUU
This 176-nucleotide non-coding RNA is filed under the name uncultured Paenibacillus sp. RNAcentral's name for it is "6S / SsrS RNA". It matches the Rfam family "6S / SsrS RNA". From Rfam's summary of the family: E. coli 6S RNA was the first non coding RNA to be sequenced, but its function was unknown until recently. It consists of 184 nucleotides that fold into an extended hairpin structure with a large single-stranded internal bulge. The 6S RNA specifically associates with RNA polymerase holoenzyme containing the sigma70 specificity factor. Lineage: Bacteria; Bacillati; Bacillota; Bacilli; Caryophanales; Paenibacillaceae. The record is from RNAcentral.